Molecule: non-coding RNA, 880 nt
Organism: Paramisgurnus dabryanus
Lineage: Eukaryota; Metazoa; Chordata; Actinopteri; Cypriniformes; Cobitidae
Source: RefSeq, a predicted model, not a curated record
UUCAGAGUUUUCGUAUGUGAGGUAAUCUUGCUGGGAGUAAAGGCAGUGUGUAUGACCGCUUGAUAUGAGAGACACAUCCUGCUUUUAAAGGAGGUAAACUUUAUACUGUAAACUUCAUUCCCUUUAGAACAGAGUUUUCGUAUGUGAGGUAAUCUUGCUGGGAGUAAAGGAAGCGUGUAUGACCGCUUGAUAUGAGAGACACAUCCUGCUUUUAAAGGUACACUUUAUACCGUCAGCUUCAUUCCCUUUAUAGCAGAGUUUUCAUAUGUGAGGUAAUCUUGCUUAUGCUGGGAGAGAUGGCAGUGCGUAUGACCGCUUGAUAUGAGAGACACAUCCUGUAUUUCAAGGUGGAUCAUGAGUGAAGCUCUGCAGGUCGGCCAUUGACUUGAUAACAGUUGUUUAUGUUUAUUCAAUUUAAGAAUAAAUCUCUCGCCAACCAUUCACCUAUUUACUGACAAAACAGAUCCAAAUCUUGUUCGGCCUGAUGCUCAACCUAUGAUGAUGACCACUGCAAGGUGAUGGGAAUCUGUGGUAAUCACAGCCUGCGUCUCAAGAUCAACAUGACAACAGCAGAGUAGACCAUCUCUUAUCUUACUCUUAUCUGACAAAAUGUUCAACGUCACUGCCACAAAACAAAGAACAUUGAAUGGAACAUGUACUGUACAAUGAUCCAGCAAACAAAAUAAUAUGGACUUUUUUGGCGAGAUUCUACAAACAUUGAUACAAUCAAUGUUUAUUUUUACAGUUAGUAAUGUAUUAUUAACAUCCCAUUCAUUUGUAUUCUAUCCCAUCUAUCUGUUUGUGCUAAAAUUUUAAAAUCUGAAUGUAAUGUCAUAAUAUGUUAAUAUUCAGUAUUUAUUAUCAUUUGCAUGUUUCGAUG